CGACCUUUACCGAUUGAAAAAUCUGAACUAGAAUAACAAUUAACUAUACCCAAAAAGAAAUUACAGUACGAGAAAUCAAGGGUAUUUAUUCCAGCAAUAAAAUUCAGAAUUGCGACAUAAUGAGCUUAUAAUCCAGCUAUUAUAAAAAUUAUCUCCAUUAAUCUCAAUUGUGUAUCAUUUUGGCAUGUUUACAGCAAACGCAGCGUGUAUUGAACACGAAUUUUCAUGUUUGGAAACAAAGAGGUCUACUUCCUGAUUUUGGAACAUUCUUCCGUGGGAACGGAGUUUUAUAAAAUGUGGGGCUAGCCACGCCAAUAUUUAGUUAAAGCACAGCUGUCGGGGGAGAAACAUCAAACAAACAAGAAAUCACUCAAGAGAAAUAAGGAAAUUAUAUCAAAGACUUCUGUAAGUACUGUGUACCGGCCAUAUUUCCUCAGACGUUUAAUUAAUUUAAUUUACAAUGAAUGAAUGAAUGACCAUUUGAACGUCGAGAAUU
Non-coding RNA from Paramuricea clavata, 496 nucleotides. NCBI's taxonomy places the organism in Eukaryota, Metazoa, Cnidaria, Anthozoa, Malacalcyonacea, Plexauridae. The record is from the annotation of a GenBank genome assembly.